Molecule: unclassified non-coding RNA, 339 nt
Filed under: soil metagenome
Description: partial contains 5.8S ribosomal RNA, internal transcribed spacer 2, and large subunit ribosomal RNA
Rfam family: 5.8S ribosomal RNA (bases 1-120)
Source: RNAcentral
GAUGAAGAAUGUAGCGAAAUGCGAUAAGUAGUGUGAAUUGCAGAAUUCAGUGAAUCAUCGAAUCUUUGAACGCACAUUGCGCCCCUCGGUAUUCCGUGGGGCAUGCCUGUUCGAGCGUCAUUUAACCCCUCAAGCCUAGCUUGGUAUUGGGUGCUUGUCCCGCCUCUCGCGCGGCGACUCACCUCAAAGUCAUUGGCAGCCCGCAUCUCGCCGGCCGUGAGCGCAGCACAGACGCGCUCUUGGCAACGACGGAUCGGCUCUCCAAAAGCUUAUUUCAACCACUGACCUCGGAUCAGGUAGGGAUACCCGCUGAACUUAAGCAUAUCAAUAAGCGGAGGA